This is a long non-coding RNA of Bos taurus (domestic cattle), 1268 nucleotides long. The record is from Ensembl. Lineage: Eukaryota; Metazoa; Chordata; Mammalia; Artiodactyla; Bovidae.
GGCUUAAGGUGUUCUUAAGGUGUAUCUUCCCAGCCCCAGCUGUGGAAUCAGCCAUUUUUUUCCCAGGGAAUCUUGAUUCCUUUGAAUGGAAAAUGAUUUUAAGAAAUCAAGAUCUGGGUGCUGAGUGCCCAUUGCUACUGGAAUGUCAUUGCUUCUAGGCUUUUCUUGGCAGACAGAGCAAGGAAAUAACUGUAGAUAAAGAUAUAUGGAAAUAUUGAGGGAGAUGGAGAUAGAUGAUAUAAAUAAUUAAAAAUCAUGAAUUCAUAGUAGCCCCAUAAAUUUUAUUCUCAUCUCCCUUUUUCAUAUUUUUAACUCUCUGAGAAAAUUUUAAACUUUCUCUUUGCUUUGUUUUGUUCCAUCCAGUGAUCCUCUUGAUGUAAGUCUGUUUUUGUUAUUUCCUGGAGACAGACUCCCUUCUGGUGUCAAAGCUUCCUUCUCAGAGCUUUUCUCUCUGUCCCAAGGCUCAUGGAGCCAGCUGCCUUCAGGGCCUGUGCAUUUCUGUGCAGAACUUGGAAGUUAAGAAGACCAAUAGCAGUUUACCCGUACUGAGCCAGAGGCCUAUACGCGGGGAUAGGGCCACAAUGAUGGAGUUGUUCCACUUGGAGACUCAGGAGGAAAAAAUUGGAGAAGGGGAUGCUUGAACUGUGUCUUCAAGGUGAAGAGGUUUUUGUUCCUUCCGUGGGACCGUCUGCCUUCCUGUGUCAUGUCGUGAGAGGUGGGCCCACCUAGGGAAUACCAGUGGCUUGAGUGGCCAGGUCAAGUCAGUGGACGGCCCAUGGAGUGGUGGCAGGAGCUGGAUGUGGCCAGGUCAAGUCAGUGGACGGCCCAUGGAGUGGUGAGCAGGAGCUGGAUGUGGCCAGGUCAAGUCAGUGGACGGCCCAUGGAGUGGUGGCAGGAGCUGGAUGUGGCCAGGUCAAGUCAGUGGACGGCCCAUGGAGUGGUGGCAAGAGCUGGGUCACACCGUGCCUGUCACCUGUGGUGCUCUUUGAGCAUGACCCUGCAGGUGUGGGGAGCUCCUGGAAGGACUUAAGCAGGAGAUCGCAUGGUCACAUUUGUGAUGUAGACACAUCAGAAGAUACAAGGCUGGAGGCACAGAGAGUCAGCCAGAGUGCUGAGGAGGGUAGUAGUAAUGGAGUCCAGGCUCAGGGAGAGGAGUCAGUGGCAGCAAAGAGCCCCUGGGGGCUGCUCACUGAUACGACGAAAGGCCUGAGGAAGAGAGUGGUAGCUGGCAUGACCCAUGAGCUUCUGACCUGCAUUUCAGGGUAGAU